RNAcentral lists this ribosomal RNA (209 nucleotides) under uncultured Lactobacillus sp. Its description in RNAcentral is "partial 16S ribosomal RNA". It matches the Rfam family "Bacterial small subunit ribosomal RNA", at positions 154 to 354 of the family's 1533-position model. The record is from RNAcentral. Lineage: Bacteria; Bacillati; Bacillota; Bacilli; Lactobacillales; Lactobacillaceae.
AAACAGAUGCUAAUACCGGAUAACAACANAUGAUGCCUAUCAACUGUUUAAAAGAUGGUUCUGCUAUCACUCUUGGAUGGACCUGCGGUGCAUUAGCUAGUUGGUAGGGUAACGGCCUACCAAGGCGAUGAUGCAUAGCCGAGUUGAGAGACUGAUCGGCCACAUUGGGACUGAGACACAGCCCAAACUCCUACGGGAGGCAGCAGAAA